UAUUAUAUUAAUAUAAUUUAAUAUCAAUACAAUGAAUCCACUCUAUUAAAUAAAUACAAACUAACCAUCAUGGUUUCAUAAAAUAAAAUCCAUCUACUUUUACUAAAACCAAACAAAACGAAUAAAAACUCCUUCUUUAAUUUGGACAUCCCUUCUUUUUCCCUCUCCAAAACCCUUUCUCUCUUUCACGUGAAUUCAAGACUUAUAUCCAAAUUAUUGAACCUCUCCCUCCUCUUUCUAUAACUUCCAUUUCCAUUUUAAUGCAUCUUCUUUUUCUCAAGUUACAUAACUGAGACCUCAUCUUCUUUUCCUUCUCUCUUUCUUCUCAUUUACUUCAUCGGCACACACACACAUAUUUCACUCAUCCUACUAAAUCCCCAAACAAACUCUAACACUACCAUUAAGGAAUUAAACAUCUCUUCUCCACCCUCACUGUGGCCAACUUUCACUCUAGCUCAUAAACAUACACUAAAUAAUCCUAAACUUUUUCACUCUCUCCGUUUUAAAUUAUUCUCCAAACACUUCCUAAUUCGCGCAAAGCCCCAUUCCAUUACCUGCAACCUUUAACCAUCCCAACAAUUAAAUAUUUUUCUCCCACUAAAGUUAAAUCCAACAACUAAAAUACCCCAACGUAAACCCCAACUAACAUCUUCACUCACGUAUUCUCACACAUAUCCAUUCCACCUCUCGUAACCCUCAUCUUUCCCCUUACUAAAGCCAUCAUCUUCCCUUUCCAAACUUCAUAAAUGAAACCCCAACUCUUAGUGUACCCCAGGUUUCUCAAACAACCCAAAACACCAUGAAGGAAGCAAUAUAAUGAUUACUGAAACAACAAAAUAUUACAAAUAUCACAACAUCAUAAUCACAGUCAUUUACUUCAUGAGUAUCAUACAUACACAUCAAACAAAAC
RNAcentral lists this long non-coding RNA (910 nucleotides) under Vigna radiata. RNAcentral describes it as "long non-coding RNA (VRAD_LNC008070)". The record is from RNAcentral. Lineage: Eukaryota; Viridiplantae; Streptophyta; Magnoliopsida; Fabales; Fabaceae.